RNAcentral lists this ribosomal RNA (554 nucleotides) under uncultured archaeon. RNAcentral describes it as "bacterial SSU rRNA". It matches the Rfam family "Archaeal small subunit ribosomal RNA", at positions 875 to 1429 of the family's 1478-position model. The record is from RNAcentral.
AGCACCACAACGGGUGGAGCCUGCGGUUUAAUUGGACUCAACGCCGGGAAUCUCACCGGAUAAGACAGCGGAAUGAUUGCCGGGCUGAAGACUCUGCAUGACUAGCUGAGAGGAGGUGCAUGGCCGUCGUCAGUUCGUACUGUGAAGCAUCCUGUUUAGUCAGGCAACGAGCGAGACCCACGCCAACAGUUGCCAGCAUAUUCUCCGGAAUGAUGGGUACACUGUGGAGACCGCCGCUGCUAAAGCGGAGGAAGGAGUGGGCAACGGUAGGUCAGUAUGCCCCGAAUCUCCCGGGCUACACGCGGGCUACAAUGGUUGGUACAAUGGGCAUCUACCCCGAAAGGGGAAGGUAAUCUCUUAAAACCAAUCGUAGUUCGGAUUGAGGGCUGCAACUCGCCCUCAUGAAGCUGGAAUCCGUAGUAAUCGCGUUUCAACAGAACGCGGUGAAUACGUCCCUGCUCCUUGCACACACCGCCCGUCAAACCACCCGAGUAGGGUCUGGAUGAGGGUGUGUUAUUUUGACACAUUCGAAUCCGGGCUUUGCAAGGGGGGUU